CUCCCUGAAAUGUCCCUCAGCCUCUUCCCUUUUCCCCAGGGCCGUGUUCAAGCCGGCUGGGGAGGUAGGGGCCAUGCCCUUAGCCCCCAGCUUGUUUGUACUGCAGUGAGGGGAAGAGGAGAGGAGGUGAACGGAGAUUUCUUAU
Molecule: microRNA precursor, 145 nt
Organism: Equus caballus (horse)
Lineage: Eukaryota; Metazoa; Chordata; Mammalia; Perissodactyla; Equidae
Source: Ensembl